AUUCCUUUUCAAAUUUCCAUCCGGUAAGUCAAACAUAACGGGACGGAAGUCUGAAAGGGAGU
This 62-nucleotide microRNA precursor is filed under the name Gyrodactylus salaris (gyrodactylosis fluke). RNAcentral describes it as "microRNA gsa-mir-184b precursor". Its record names the gene gsa-mir-184b. The record is from miRBase by way of RNAcentral. Lineage: Eukaryota; Metazoa; Platyhelminthes; Monogenea; Gyrodactylidea; Gyrodactylidae.